This 279-nucleotide ribosomal RNA is filed under the name uncultured beta proteobacterium. RNAcentral's name for it is "partial 16S ribosomal RNA". It matches the Rfam family "Bacterial small subunit ribosomal RNA", at positions 1029 to 1309 of the family's 1533-position model. The record is from RNAcentral. Lineage: Bacteria; Pseudomonadati; Pseudomonadota; Betaproteobacteria.
UGCACACAGGUGCUGCAUGGCUGUCGUCAGCUCGUGUCGUGAGAUGUUGGGUUAAGUCCCGCAACGAGCGCAACAAAAAAACAUUAGUUGCUACAUUCAGUUGAGCACUCUAAUGGGACUGCCGGUGACAAACCGGAGGAAGGUGGGGAUGACGUCAAGUCCUCAUGGCCCUUAUAGGUGGGGCUGCACACGUCAUACAAUGGCUGGUACAAAGGGUUGCCAACCCGCGAGGGGAAGCUAAUCCCAUAAAGCCAGUCGUAGUCCGGAUCGCAGUCUGCA